CACAGCCAUGGUGAGGCACCUGGACACGGACAAAGUUCUCCGCUACCCAGGUGUAGUAGCCAGUUAUUGUGGGUGGGCUGUAUUACUGAUUGUGUUUUGUGGGUGGGCUGCUGGACUAACAAGGGCACUGACCGGCAGGAGGUCAGAUACCCUGUUAGUCUGAUUGGUAAAGGGGAGAAGUGUGGCGGAACCAACCUCGCCACUAUGCACUGGAGAAGCCUGGUUGCCAGCCUCCUGCCAUCUGACUAUGGCCCCCUUGUGAAGUCGUACUUUUGUAUGCAAUAUUUGGG
Non-coding RNA from Pelobates cultripes (western spadefoot toad), 290 nucleotides. NCBI's taxonomy places the organism in Eukaryota, Metazoa, Chordata, Amphibia, Anura, Pelobatidae. The record is from the annotation of a GenBank genome assembly.